AUGGAUAAAAAGGAGGAGGUUUGGUUAUUAGCAUAUACCUGGAGACACCCAAAGGCCUUGCUGCCGCAGUAUGCGGAACCGAAGGGCGACAUCAUGAAGGCUGGAGCUAUUGAAUUCACCAGCAUGAGUGCUUCUCAAUGUGGAGUCAAUUUGUUCAUGAAAAUGAUGAUCUACACUCAGGUGUUGGAGUGUGUCUACAAGGUUCAGUUGCUCAACUAUGCUAGGCGAACCAACAAAGCUGAAAGCCAACAAACAGAAUCCAGGCAUAUCUCAACAAGGGCUCCAGACCAGAUGCUGUUGUUACUGCUGUAA
Molecule: ribosomal RNA, 312 nt
Filed under: Triticum aestivum (bread wheat)
Lineage: Eukaryota; Viridiplantae; Streptophyta; Magnoliopsida; Poales; Poaceae
Description: partial small subunit ribosomal RNA
Source: RNAcentral